Podarcis lilfordi (Lilford's wall lizard) is the source of this 83-nucleotide non-coding RNA. The record is from the annotation of a GenBank genome assembly. Lineage: Eukaryota; Metazoa; Chordata; Lepidosauria; Squamata; Lacertidae.
GGCUCAAUGUCCUGGGGUAGCUCAAUCAUUAGAGCAUGAGACUCUUAAUCUCAGGGUUGUGGGGUCAAGCCCCAUGUUGGUCA